RNAcentral lists this ribosomal RNA (728 nucleotides) under Centrocestus formosanus. RNAcentral describes it as "partial large subunit ribosomal RNA". It matches the Rfam family "Eukaryotic large subunit ribosomal RNA", at positions 85 to 624 of the family's 3401-position model. The record is from RNAcentral. Lineage: Eukaryota; Metazoa; Platyhelminthes; Trematoda; Opisthorchiida; Heterophyidae.
UACGGCGAGUGAACAGGGAAAAGCCCAGCACCGAAGCCUGUGGCCAUUUGGUUACUAGGCAAUGUGGUGUUUAGGUCAUUCCGCGUUGGCGCUGCUCCAUUCCAAGUCCAGCAAUGAAUACGGUAAUGCUGACAUAGCCCAAAGCGGGUGAAAGGCCCGUGGGAGUGGAGAUGCAGAAAUGACAGUGCCUUCCUGGAUAGACCUUGGAGUCGGGUUGUUUGUGAAUGCAGCCCAAAGUGGGUGGUAAACUCCAUCCAAGGCUAAAUACUAACACGAGUCCGAUAGCGAACAAGUACCGUGAGGGAAAGUUGAAAAGUACUUUGAAGAGAGAGUAAACAGUGCGUGAAACCGCUCAGAGGUAAACGGGUGGAGUUGAACUGUGAACUCUGUGGAUUUAGCUGGUGAGCAUGGUUUGAGCUUGGUCAAAUUGGCUGAAGUGCGGAGUCUGCGGAUUAGCAGGUCCUCGCCUUUUGGUGGGGAUGCGUGAGGCACUCAUCAGGUGUUGCGCGCUCCGUACUGAAUCGGGCCAGCUUGCCAGUGCACUUUCACAGAGUGGUCACCACGACCGGCAUUGCUGUCGGACUGUUGUGGUUAAACCGGUCUUGCAUUGUCCUUGUGACUUUGUUUGGUCGGGAUGGCAGGUAGCUCGUUGGCUUGCUUGUGGUUCGCUGCAGGCAUUUGGUCUUCGGGUGUAAUCAGCUGACCACAUCAGUACUGUGCAGUAUGUC